Molecule: long non-coding RNA, 574 nt
Filed under: Homo sapiens (human)
Lineage: Eukaryota; Metazoa; Chordata; Mammalia; Primates; Hominidae
Description: HSALNT0377864
Source: RNAcentral
GAUGGGGCGAAGGAGGAAAAGUUCUUUUUGCGGCACCCUCACGCCUUCCCAGCCCUUUCGCGGUUUACUCGCUCCCCGGAAAGCAGGGCAUUCAAGCAGCCCUGAGGAGAGGUCCACAUGGUGAGCCACUGAGGGCCUUGCCAAGAGCCAGCACCAACGGUCCAGGUUUGGAGUGUACCACCUUGGAAGUGAAUCUUCCAGUCCAGUCAAGCCUUCAGAUGACUUCAGAACCGUCCAUGUAAGCCACUCUUGGAUUCCUGACCCACAGAAACUGUUGGAGCUGCCAAUUUGCAGGAAAUAGAGGAGAGAAGCAUCUGUUGAACUGCACCAUGAGUAUACACUCAGCAAAGGCCAAACUGUGGAAAAUGAUACAGGUCAAACAGCCUGGAUUCUUUAACAGUAAGUGAUGUUUCUGAAGCACCAAUGAAAAUGAAGUCCUGAAGUCCUGUGCUCAAUAUGAAAUGUUGGAAGUUAGAAGAAAAAAACAAAACUUGGAUCCAAUCUCAAGGCACUUUUUGUUUAAUGGGAAGAAGUGGAUUAUUUUAAAAGCUACAAAUAAAGUUACAUAAAAGUA